AAGGCGGGUGUCAUGCGAGCGGCAUGAUGGCGAAGAGCUCCGUUUCUACCCACACAGAAACAUUCUAGAAACAACACCUUCAUGCCUCUGAUCCAAGUAGCAUCCUGGGUGAACCGUAUCAGAUUGAUUGCAAGAAUGUGAUGGGGUGCUGUUGGAGCUCGUGAUCUGCGGUUCAAGCUGCGGCUCUUCACAAACAGUGCAUUCUCGAACUAGCUGUGCAGCCUGGCACUUCACUAUCUUGAGGAAUAGACUGGAGGACAUCCUCCUUCAGGGACCAGCCCUGAGAUGACCCAGUUCCUCGCCAGUUUUGCCAUCUGAAGUGACGUGAGAGGCUGAGACAUCGGGACAGCAGGCGAUGUGCGCAUCUGUCGGAGGAAGGCCCCUGUACUUGAGCCAUCCCUCUCGCUCUCUGUCUUUUGAUGGUGAGUGGGAGCCUCUCAAUCCUUGAGCCAGGGGGCUUGGAGAAGUGAUGUGGAAGAUUGUAACAUUGGAACAGCGAGCUGCUGGUCUUCCGCUCACGUUUCAGGAGUGUUCUCUCUCUCUUCCUCACUGGAGAGAGAGAGUUUGUCUGACAUACCAAAGUGCUGGGUUAUGAACUGUGUGGGUUUUGUUGGACACUGGAUCAUGGUCUCUUCGAGGGCUUUGCUACUGCUUGC
Mobula hypostoma (lesser devil ray) is the source of this 656-nucleotide long non-coding RNA. RefSeq lists it as uncharacterized. Lineage: Eukaryota; Metazoa; Chordata; Chondrichthyes; Myliobatiformes; Myliobatidae. The record is from RefSeq and is a predicted model, not a curated record. The transcript has 3 exons.